RNAcentral lists this long non-coding RNA (260 nucleotides) under Helianthus annuus (common sunflower). RNAcentral's name for it is "sRNA HanXRQr2_Chr03g0096931". The record is from RNAcentral. Lineage: Eukaryota; Viridiplantae; Streptophyta; Magnoliopsida; Asterales; Asteraceae.
GAAGGAAAACUUAGGAAAAAAGGAACCGGUGAAUACUUAUGAAUCUGGUAAUAGGUGUUAUCGGCGGUGAUCGGAAUAACCAAAAACCGGAAACCCGGUUUUCCAGCGAGGCUCCCUAGUGCAGCAAUGGCCGUCGGAGGUUGCUAGUCGGUGGGGAAGGAGGCGACAUCUCAAAUUAGCAAGAUACAUACGCUAUUUAAUAUAACCAAGUAAAAUUAAAAUCUCAAAACAGAACCAUCACCUUGAUUUUAAUGUCUCUC